This is a long non-coding RNA of Gallus gallus (chicken), 12339 nucleotides long. RefSeq lists it as uncharacterized. The transcript is spliced from 3 exons. The record is from RefSeq and is a predicted model, not a curated record. NCBI's taxonomy places the organism in Eukaryota, Metazoa, Chordata, Aves, Galliformes, Phasianidae.
CCGCACCGGGACUCGAACCCGUGACGCUGCCCGGGACGGAGGAGGGGGGCUGCCCCCGCCCCCCGGCCCCGCGGGCACCUGAGUGGGGCGCGCGGCCCGGCCCCUGCGCGGGGGGGGAGGGAGACCCCGUACACCCUUUUGGCGCCUCUGCUGAGGGCGUGAGGGGCCCCUCGGGGAGGGCUGUGUGUAGCUGUGGGGUGAGAGAGCCCCUCAGUGAUAGGAUUCCCUCAGUGCUGGGCUGAGGGACCCCCUCAGUGAGGGGGUGAGAUAUCGUCAGCUAUGAGAUUCCCUCAGUGAUAAGAGUGGGAGACUUCCUCAGCUUUCUCCUCAGCAGUAGGGUGAUGGAUGUCCUCAGUGAAGAAGUGAGGAUAUCAUCGGUGAUGGGGUGUGGGACACCCUCAGCAUUGACAUAAGGGACUUCCCCGGCAUUGGGUGUCCUCCCACAGCGCUGGGCUGAAAGAACCCUGCCUCCAGUGAUGGACAUCUCCAGUGAUGGACUUCUCCAGUGAUGGACAGACAUCUCUGUAGGUUAUCCUACAGGAUAAAAAGGAAGGUCCUUUUAAUGAACAAAACAGAAGAAGAGGAAGAAGUCUGUUUAUCUAGGAAGGACAGGCUCAAUCUAUCCCUUUUCUGGCCAAGCCCCAUGCAGUUCUCAGCUUACACCUGGGCACACUCCUUCUGUUCACUUGUCAGGUGGGUUGCCUUGCGUGUUCGUUGUUUCUACUCCGCGCAGCUGGAGUCACCGUGAGGCCAUCAGCCUUGCUGCCCUGCCUUAGGUUUCACUGUCCUCCUUCUUCAUUACUCUUCAAGGCUGCAUGAAUACAAUCACAGAAGCUGUAAUUGCACACGUCUCCUUUCCACCUCCUGUGCCUUGUCAGCAUUUUGUAGAGACGAAGAUAACUGACAGUCGCAGACACUGGAGGACAAAAGGUGAAUCUGUGGACAGGCCACAUUGGAUGUGUUGUUAGGGAGUGCAGUGGGUUGUGGAUCAUGGCCUCAUCCCGCAAGCCUGGCAUGCAGGGUAGAAGAGCAUAGCAGUGUCCUCCUUUGCAAGGUUUACACCAAUGUGCGUCCUUUGUUGAAAUGGGGCCUCUUGAAAUGCACAACACCAAACUUCUGCUCAUCUUGGCAUGCAUCCAGUUCAAGGCACAAAACUCCUACUCCAACAAAGAUUUAUUCUGAGGAAAAAGAUGUAAUUCCUAAGAAAAUUAGCUCAGCUAAGGAAGGACUUGGGUGUGUCCGUGACUCUGUUCCUUAUUAAAAUUGGGGCAGAAAUCCUUUCUCACAGGACAUACAAGUGAAUUUUUGAGGUCUUGUGCAGGCUAACUUUUAAUAUAACAGCAGUGGGCAUCACUUCAUCAGUGCUGUUGUGCCCCUUCUUGACUUAUGGGUUUGAUGGAUGACUUCUGCAUGAAACCUACCUGUCUGGGUGAAUCCCAUACAUGGUAUUUAUUCCACUACUGACAUUUGAGAAAAUGAGUUCUCCAAAAAUGGGAACAUGCAGAACCACCAUCAUAAUGAUAAUGACCUGGUGACCCUCUUAUUGUGUAUGCUGUUAAAACAAAGCCACCUGAAGAGAUGCUCCAAGGACCUACAUUACUACCCAAGCCCUCUAUUGCUGUGCAUGGCUUAUCUCCAGCAAGUUACCAACAUGCAGUUCUUAGGAGUAGGAUGGUGAGGAACACUUUGAGGUGAGAAUGAUAAUUAGUUUGUUGACAUACCCUAAUUUUCUAAGAUAAUGCUUCCUAAUUUCAGAGUAACCCCAGCACACCCUUGUUACAGGGCUCUGGACCCAGUCUGGCCAGUCCCUGGAGCAGUCUUCUCUGUCAUUGGGUAGUAGGAAGCAGCUACCAGAGGAACUGGUUCCCCUGGCAGUUGCUGAACCAGGACUACACCUGCGGUGCAGCAGCUGCUUUGGAUCUAUGAAUUCCAACAGCUCCAGUGGGGAUUGUUUAAAAAUAUGUACUUACGUGUCUCUACAAACAGUUAAGAUAUUUACAUGUCUAUUGCUAACUGUAGGACAAGCCUAAAAAAAUUUGGAGUAAGAAGAAACGAGAUUUGGUUUUAAUUUUAAGGGAUUCACUCCCAAAUCUGAGCUUCAAAGUAGAAAAACUUCUGGGAACUAUUAAGUCUGGCUUUGGGUAAGGUAUAUGUGUAAGGCCAUAUGACUUGGCCCCUGUGUCAGAGUGUUUCAGGCAGGCAGGCAUCCCAGAACCUGCUGUCAAACAGCAGCCAUAGUGUGGUCCUAGCAGGACAAAAACAUAGAGACUCACAGCUGACAAGCACUUCCAAGAGCACUGAGCUGCAGCAUGAUCUCUCUCAAGCAGUGAAUAAGUUGAUCUCUUUAAUUACAGGAAGUGGAACAAGAUUUUACCUAUAGUUUUGUGCAAAUCAGGGCUGGCAUAGCUUGUCUGUGCACCAAGUCCAGUCCUACUUGUGGAAAAGCAGCUCUCUGACUUCCCUCUUGACUUGAGUGAGAUGUAUGUGGAGAGCAGGAGUCUGCCUCCUCCUCUGUUCUUCUCUGAGUUUAUUACGUAGCCUCAGUGUGUUUCUUUGAUUUUUCCAUUAAAAUAUGUUUAUUUGUUUCUAAUUAGGGUUGCCCUUUCGGUAGCAUUUAUUCUCUCAUUUAUUUAUAGACAGCAAUUCAAUCCCUCCACAAACCAUGUUUUGAAAGGUUAAACAGAAGUCCACACUGGCUUAGCUUAUCAGAAAAUAAAUGUCUGCUUCUCCUGGUCACAUUAACCCUCUGCACCUCAAGUUUUAAUCAACCUUUCCUGAACGUACACACCCUAAAUUAUACAUUUACUUUAUAAGGAUAAUAAUUCUUCAGCUACAUGUGAAACCGUUCAUAGUAAACACAUGAUCAAGUGCUUUGCCUGCUUGUUAUUCUUGUAUACCAUGAGUUCUCAUUAGCAGCUCAUCAGCAUUCACAAGUAUGAGGUUUUGCGCUCCUUCAGCUUUUACAAGCCUUCUGCGAUGGCCUGAUUUCCAGCUGCAGUGGCAGCAUUUCCUACCUUCAUUCUUUCACUUUGUAAACAUCCCUAAUUCUUGAAGGUGGGUCCAAAAGCCAACCUUUGAGGAAUUUCAGUCACAUCUUUUUACUGAGCUUUAUUUUGAGCGGAGUGGUCUGUUCUUAAAUUCGCUUUUUGUUGGGUCCUCUGCUUCUAUUCCUGCAUCUAGCAAGACGGAGGGAAGCAUCGUUCAUUCCUGGAGUCACAGCUAAAGUUUAUGUUUUAAUCUUUACAUGUUAGCCAUCUCGCCUCUGUUGUUCCAUCAGACUCCUAAAACUACUAAAGACCCUUCUGUAUAGUAUUAGAGUUUCCUCUUUAGGGUCUUGACUGGGAGCAGUUCUCAAGUUUUUCACGCACGUACUCACCACCAAGUCAUAACUCCUUUCUCAGCUUUUACUGCUGCUAGCAAAUUCUUUGCUCAUUCCCAGUACCAUUCACUGUAGUUACACAACCACUGAGGGAUGGAGUCACCCUCUAAAAACUUUGCACAUUAUUUGGGAUACAAGUUUUAGACAUCUCCUGUACUAAAGUGAACACAAAAUUUCCAUGCCACUCUAACUGUUGUCCUUGAAAUUAAGAAUCUUGAAUCUCUUUAUCAUUUGAUAUAGGGUAGUUUUCAGUUGCCACCUAUUAUGCUGUAUUUUCCCAUGACGUCCCAUCUAAAAAAAUAUGUCAAUCCGCUCUGGGUGGUGUCUUGGAUGUUUAAGUUGAGCAAACAGUGCCUGCUGCAAGUAGGUGUUGUCAGAAGCCACCAGCAGUUCUGUAGUGUGUAUAGUCACAGGAAACUGUGACGUUACUCUCACUUCUGCUGCCUCAGUGUGAAAUGGCAUUAGGGAAAAAGAAACCAUGUCUCAAUUAAUAAGAAAUGAGCACAGCGGAGGAUCUUGCCUCUAAUUUACAGAAAGUUGUGAAAUGCUUCCUUCUGAACAUUUCCCAGAUCGGCAAAGCAAACCAAACAUGAUUCAUUUCUUUGGAGACGGGUGGUGAUUGGUGGUGAUCAGGGUACUUUGUUCUGCAUGAUGUAUUACUCCUCCUAAAGAGCUCCUCCAAAAAGGGAGACACACUAACAAAACCUCCCCGAGGACUGUACGUCCAGAAGCCAGACAUCUAAAGUGGGAUUGCAAGUUAAAAACACCAACUCUGAAUUCACGCGACAGAGUCUUUUUUACCUAAACCAGCUUAAACAAAAUUGAAAGCAUCUGGGAUGAGUGGCAGGAUGCCCCUGUGGCAGAACAAAUGGAGGAGUCUGUGGCUCUGGACUCGCAGCUGCAAGGAGGAAUAGUCUCUGGAGUAUUCUGUCUGGCUGUGCAUCACUGCACGCAGUCACCCUUAUACAGUGCUCAGCAGCCUGUGUGACUAAGUUGCUUGUGGGAUGAGGAAACUUCAAAUGACAGAGCUCCAAAAACUCAGAGGCAUAAGGUUUCCCAUAGGAAUCUCCUCUCAUGCGCAGUCUCCCUCCGUGUUGGAAUGUCAUGCUUUGGAUCCAUUUUUCCUUAACCAAGGCAUCAGUUCCAUCCACCUUGCUGCCAGUUCAGCCCCACUGCAUUUUCCCGUAUCCUAACCAGGAAUGUCUCAGCAGCCACCUUAAAAAUUUCAUCACCUGAAGCCCUUUAGAUUUCUCUCUAGAGGGCACUUUCUCUGCCUUAGAGUAGCCAGUAAUUUUUUCCUGUGGUCUCUCCAAUUUUCCACCAAAGUUACUUCUAAAUGUGUAUACCAGAAGCAGAUCCUUAUGUCAGCCUCGGCAUCAUGAGAACUGCACAAAAAAGAAGUGUCAGCCCGGCAGUGCCUUUCCUAUGGAGAGGUAGACGUCCAGCACCCCCAUCACCCAAAGUCUGACUGAACCAAGCACAGGUGCUACUUAGGUGGAAACCCACGGACAGAAAACAGGAAGCUUCUCUAGCACAUAGCAAGAUAGGAAGAUCCAGCCCUGCUUCAUCUCUGUUCUUAAUCAUCACUAUCAGAGAUAAGCUGGGCUGUGGAAAAGGAAGCUAAACUCACAAAUGAGUGUAGAGUUGUGACACAGGAAGAGACCAGGAGCACAUCCAGCAAGCAGCACAGAAGUCAUGAGGCUGUGCCAUGUGCUGAACAGGCUGCCCUGAGGCAGUUUGAGCACAGCCCAGUUCUUGCCUCAGGGUGCUUGGCACCAGCCGGCUGCCCAUUGCCCACCCUGCAGAUAGUGCCAGCUGCAGACAUGCAGCCAUUGGACAAACACCGCAUGUUUUGCUGCAGGGUCAGAUGCAGAGAGAUGUGGUGCUUCAAAUUAACGAGCUCUUAUUCACUGCCACCCAGCUGAGUUGUCUCAAUCAGAUUUAUAAAAAGCUAGUAGGUCACAAGUCCCAUCAGCACGUGCUGGCCUUGAUCUUUUGCAGAUCAAGGAGUGCCAGGCCCUCCUGCAUGCCAUGACAAGCAAUGGAAAAGCAGACAGGCUGUGAUAUCAGGAGGGAUUUGCAGGCAAAGGUAGGCCCCCGGCAAGACUUGCUGCAACAUGGCUGUUGCUGGCUGAAGCCUUUACCCAUGAUGGCUGUACAAUAGCACAAAGAGAAAAGAUCUGCAGAUCAAACCAGCUGAGCAGCUCUGCCAGCACAGUGGGCUGGCUGGGGCAAAGUCCAUCCCCUUAUACAGUGGGAUGAAACUUUUCUCAUUUUGCCAGACUUGGGGGAGAAGAGGAAGUGAGCCUGCUUAUCACAGCAGUGCAGCAUUACCUGUUGGCCAUCCUCCCCACUGAGGACACCAUGGGUCUGCCCUGUAUGACACCUGCAGUCAGCAUCCAUGCACAGAUCAGCUGGACACAGAUUGCCGAUGAGGGGAGCUGGGCAGGAGCUCCAGGAGGCAGCAGAUUCCGGGAUCAGGCUGGCCUGAUGAGUAGUUUUGAGAUACUGCUGAGGGACAGUGGUGCUGGGAGGGCCCUCAAUGGAAACCAAUUUCUUAUAGCACAAGGAGUAUAACUAAAAAGUGGUCUCUUGGCCAAAGGUAGCCUGCUCUGAAGACACUGUCCCCUUGCUCCCCAACUCUUCAAACCAUUAGAAACUUCAUAAAGACUUGGCUAAGGCUCUACAGAAGACUUGUUCCACAACAGAAGGAUUCCAGACAUUUCCAUCUUCUCUGUUUUCUGUCUGCUGCUAAUUAUCGGCACAUGGCAAUGCUUCACCUCUCACUCAAAGCAGUGCAGCUCUCUUAGGCUUUGGACAUGGGGGUCCUGCACAAACCAGUCCCCAGCCUGAAGGCUGAUGUCUGCUGGGAGCACAGCAGGGUUCCUUGUGCCUCCAGGGUGAACCCCUUGAACCCCUUGACAUGCAUGCAGGACUGUGUGGCCAGACCAUGUUUGUAUCUGUUGCACGACACUGGGGCACUGUUUUAAUUUAAAAUGGAUUAGGCUUUGUUUUCUUUCCAGCUCAAUAACAUUGCAUGCAUUGCUGGGCGAUAAAACCCACAGAUAACCAUGCCAGCAGGCUGUUGGGGUGGACGUGAUCAGCAGCACAGCAUGAGCUGAAAUGGCAAAGAAUAGGGGGUAAAACUGCAUAGAAACAUGCUGCUGGUAACACAGACUGGACAGUAUGUGCUGCAGCUCCUGGAGACACUCUUGUACAACCUUUGAGGGCCAUCUUCCUGAAAGAGAAGGGUGGAGAAGCCAAAGCAGAAUAUGGAUGAGUAGCUUGAGCACAGCUCAGUGCUUGGCUUGGGAUGCAGGACAUUAGGUGCAGGGCAGCAGGGAAGCAUGUGAGCCAUUACUCCUUGUCCCAGUCCUUCUCUCAGUCACGGAAUGCUGAUGGUGAUGAUGAUUCCCAGAAGAGGAGCUCCUCCCUAAGCAGUGAGGAUGUCUCAAUUCACCAAAGCUUUGCUUGUUGCUGUUUUUCCCAAGCUGGUUAUGCCUCUCCCUGCUCUCCUCUGGCUUUUCAUGAGCUUAAGAUUUGCUCCAUGUCAUACAAGGGAAGUACUGCCCUACCAAGUGACUCUGGAAAAAGCAUUUUGUUUCCCAGGUUUCUUGGCAGAGCUUCAUUGUCACAUGCACUAGGUUUCUUCACUACCAUAAUCCAUGCAUUCUGGCUGGCAGCAAGCAUGAGGCUGAAUGGAUGGUAUCAGGCAGCACUGACCGUGAGCUGCAGGAAGCGCACCCUGAGCACAAGGUCUUAGGUUGUCCCAGAGUUUGAUCUGGGACUCCCCAGUGGAAGCACAAGGUCUCUGCAGAGCUAAGUAUGGGGACACCUACUUACCCCCCUCUAUUGUGCUAGAGACCACCCAGCAUGUCUCACUCUACACUCUACAACCCCACUUGCUCACCAAACCAUCACUACCAACCAGGCUGGCCCUUGUGGCCCUGCCUAGACCUUCAUUCACAUUGACUCCCUCCAUAAGUGACGUCUGAGGAAGCUGAUGCUUCCAGCAGAAUGCACUAGGAGAGCUCUUUGAAAGGUCAGAUAGCAGCUGGGAACCUGACCCCAUACAGCUCUCUAUACACUAUUUUCCAACAGCUUUCUUACCUGCAACCCUUUAUAGCCUCUCAUGACUUUUUUUUUUUUUUUUUUUUUUUUAAACAUGAGUUUUGCUGCUGACGUGCUCCAGACCAGGCAUCCCUUACUCUGAAAGCUAACAGAAGGCACCAGAAUCCCCUGGGAUACUUUGUCACUGCAUCUCUGUGUGGACAAAGAUGACAGCAGCUGACACAAGAAAAACAAGUACAACUUCGGGAACAAAAUCCAUGUUGCGUGACGUUCCCCAGGCUGCUAAGCACUGGAAUCUGUUGUACUCAGUGCUCACUCUGCACAAGACAAGCUCGAUGCACAGACCAAAACACAAGCUGAGAGCCCAGCCCAGCCUGGUAAGCCUGAGAAACACGUUUCCUCCAGGGACUGGAUAGGCUGCAAAGUGCCUAUCCACAGAACUGUAGGCAGCAGCAUGCCAAAAUGCAAUGACAGCAGGAUCAGUAAAUGCCCAGAGCUUCACUCAGGUGUGAAAGUAGGGGCAGAAUGGGCUGAGGACUGUCUGGAUGGGACUCUGAGUGGCCUGAUCUAGUUGCAUAUGUCUCUGCUCUUUGCAGAGGAGUAGGACUAGAUGACAUUUAAGGGUCCCGGCUCUGUGGUAAUUUUUGUUGCUCGGUGCAGGGCUAUUGCAGAACAAUUUAAUCCUGCACCUUUUUGAACGCUUCAUGUCCCACCCUCCUCUGAAGCAAUCUAAAAGUACUCCAGGUGAGACUGCUGAACUCUUAUAUGGUAUGUAACCUGCCACGUAAAGCUGCCUUGAGGAGACAGGAAAGUGUCAGGACUGGAUUUCCUUCUGGGUUUCCAGCGAGCUCCAGGUUAGUUCUAAAGAAUCAAAUUAGCAUGCAAAAGGGUAAAUACUUUAAAACUUCCUGCAAUUCUAUGAAGGAAACUAACCACAACAAAAAUGGAAAGCCAUAACAGAGUCCAUUAGAAUGAUAAGUGACUGAAGAUGAAACACUGAAAAAAAAGGGCUCACUCAAAACCAACAGAAAAUAAAUUCACACUGGAAGCUUACCAGAGAGUCAGUAGAUAACAGGGUCGUGAGAGUCAUUCAGAGAAGAUAGUGGCACAGCAGGAAGACACAGUGAGUUAUCUACACUAUCAGGCAGUAAAGGGAAGCUCCCAUCCUGAAACCAUUUUUUACAGCACAAAUGUGAUAACUUGCUUCAAGUGAAAGUGUAGUCAGGUAUGUUUCAAAACAAAUUAAUAAUACAAACAUUAAGUGACACAGAUGGCAUUUAUCCAAGACCUUGGAGGAACCCAAACACAGAUCUCUCAGCAGCUCUGGGGCACGCAACCUAUUGUUUAACUCAACCUGAAACCUGAGGAAUGACAGAAGGCAAAUGAGUUGCUUGGGUUGGGCUUUUGUUUUUUGCUCUAAGGGCUUUGGGUUAGUUUGUGGAUCUGUGGCUUCUGGAAAUUAGGAACAGCACUCCUGGGCAUGCAGGAAAGUGUAAUCAUGGGGGAGGAAACAAGCUUGCUCUGGGGACAAAGUCAUGUCAGUCCUUGAAGGAGUCAGGAAACCAGUUCCAUGGAUGUGGCUGGGCAGAUGGAUAUACUGUACCUGGAUGUCCAAAACAUUUUCAGCAAAGUCUUCCACCAAUUGUCUUUAAUCCCUCUUCUCUACAGCAUGUUCGUUCUCACAGUUAAUAACAGGGCAGGAGAUACUGAAUGGAAAGUGGUCAGCACACAGGGCAGGAAAGUUAUGGGUUUUGCCUCACCAGGAUCUGUAUUUGGGCUUGUGCUUCCUACUUGUUUCAUAAAUGGUCUGGGAACGGGUGUGUGCAGUUAUGGGACAAGGCUUGCUGGUCAAAGUGAGGUACUAAUCUGGACAGUCAAAUGGCAACUCGGUAGACAUAAAGUAAUGUACACGGAGAAGUUCUAAGUACAUGAGGAGAGAGUUCAGACAAGUUACCUCACUCAAGGAGGUGGCCUGGGGGCUGGCUCUGUGUUUCCUGACUUCCUUCUCAGAGAAGAAACAGAGGAAUUAAGAAGGGCCCCCAGCCACCCCUCACACUCCUUGCCCUCCAGAGCCUCACCGCUGUGACAGCACUCCUUUGGGUGCUGUGUGACAGCUUUGUGUCUGUGUAUUGUGGCACCCAGCCUGCACCCGCUGCUGGAGGUGAGGCUGCUCAGCACAGAGGGGACAACUCCUCCCCUCGCCUGGUGGCAGUGCUGGGCCUGAGGCACCCAGGGUACAGUCAGCCCUCUGAGCUGUCAGGGCACACUUCUGACUCAUGUUCAACUUCUCAUGAACUAGAACUCCCCGAUCCCUUUCCAUGGGACUGCUCCCAGCUGGCCUUCCUUGGUCAUCUAGGUGAGUAACCUUGUCAUAAGAAGAAAUCAGUUUAAUUAAACAGGACUUUCCCCUUGUGAACCCAUUUUGGCUGUGACCAAUGUUUGUGCUGUUUUCAGGUGCUUUUCAGUAACUCCCAGAAUAAUCUUUUCCAUAGGCACUGAAGUGAGACUGACAAGCUUGUCAUUAUCAGGGUCCUCUUUCUUGCCCAUCUUGAGAACUGGGACAAUGUUUCCAGCUUCCAUCAAAUGGGUUCUCUCAGUGGAGAAUUGAAAAAUAAUUGAGAGGGUUCUUGUGAUGACAUCAGCCAGAUCUUCUGAGUUGCUAGCAGUGAAUCCCAUAGGGCCCCAUGGAUUUAGAUGCAUCCAUAUGGAGUAGCAAAUCACACAAGUUGGGGGUUGGCUGGGAGCUGAUUGUUACUGCAGCCCUGAUCCUCCAGCUCUGGGCUACAGCGGUCCCAGAGCCCAGCAUCAGUGUUGAAGACAGGGGCAAAGAAGGCAUUAAAGGUCUCUGCUUUGUCUGCAUCCCUGUUUGUGAGGUGACCAUCCUUAUCAAGUAACAGACCAAUGUUAUCUCUGUUCCCCUGUGAGCUGCUAACAUAUUUAACAAAUACCUUUCUGUUGUCCCAGUUUGGCAUUCUUCAAAUCUAACUGAGCUUUGGUUGCACCUAUCUUCUCCCUGCACUCUCUGUUUGGAAGCAACAGAUCUAGGAAAGCACCUUUUCUUGUUUGCUGCCCUACUACAGGUACCAAGAUGUUAUCAUCUACAUAUUUUAAGAAUCUCCUGGUCCUCUUUGUACCAAAUGUGUGGUGUUCCGAGUUAAUGUCUGGCAAGCUGAAGUUUCUCAUAAGUACACUCAUAAGUUAGUCAUAAGUACAUCACUCAUAAGAUGGUUGAUCUAGAGAUAUCUCUUAGUUCCUUACAGAACAGUUCAUUAGUGUCAUUGUCCUGGCUGGGUGGCAUAUUGUAGGCUCCCACAGUGUCAACUGCUUUAUUUGCUUGUCCUGUUUAUUUCUCAUGCUGUGUGCAUUGGUGUAGAAACAUUUCAAAAGUGCUUCAUUGUACUCAGCACCUCGUGCAGCAGGCUGAAGGCUCUCACAAGCACACAGUCCCUCAUAUUUCAGUGUGCCAAUAUAUAGCAUACCACUAGCAAGCUUAGUUUUAUCCCUUCCUCACUUUGAAUCUAGUUUAAAUCUCACUUGAUCAGCUCUGCUAACUCCUGUGCAAAAACCUUUCCUCCCUCUCUGAGAAAGGUGCAUCCAGUAGAUCCCAGCAGGCCCGGUGUUGUGCAGACCAUCCCGUAAUCAAGAAACCCAAAAUCCUGUCAGCGACAUCAGUCUUGGAUCCAUAUAAUGACGUCACAGGUUAAAAGCCAAACGGAUCUAAGCACUUCACUAUGCAUCAUAAAUCCGAGGAAUUAAUUGCCUAGGGUUGCUAUGGAGGCAAAUAGCCUAGAAUUGAUCAAAAGCAAUCAGAUACUUCCACAGAAGAGCAACUCAGCAAGGACUGCUAGAGGUAAGGGUACUUUGGUCAGUGUGUGACUAACAUGGAUAUUGCUGGAAACAUACUGGAGGAAGCAUCACUUUAUACCCACAUCUUUCCUUAAUCUGCUUGAAGCACACCACACUCACCACCACUGUUAGGAUCCAUGGCUGGUUUGGUCCCUAUACACCAGAUAGUGGUUUCUAGGAUCUUAUGAUGCACCAGGAUAAGCUAGCUGAGAAGCAAAGCCCUGGCCAAGUAGUCUGACCUAAAUACUGCUGCAAAGCAAUGGCAUAUCUUGCAAGCACUUGUUCUGCACACUAGUGUUAAAUAGAAGAUGGGAAAGUCUGUAUCUCAGAUGUGCUGUUACAACACUCCACAGUCACUCGAUGUAAUACAGCAUGAUGCUAAGAACCAUGCAAAGAGAGUCUGGGCUGAGGGCCAAAUAGGCCCUUAAAAUGUAUCUGAGGAAGGAAACAUAUCGACACACACCAUAACGUUUUCCAGGAAGAAAGUAAGCAACACCAGGGUUGCCAGUCUUGUGAAAACAGAUUAUGAGCUGUACUGGUCCUUGGGUCGAGUAUACCUUAAAGAUCGAGAAGAGAUGAGGAAAAAGCAGAGCUGGGAAAAGGGGGAAAAGAAGGGCUGAGAAUAGAAGAAAGCCUUUGCUUUAGCCAGCCUGACAGUAAGUUGCUGACUAGAUAUCCCUAUAGCCACAGACAUGCCAGAACCUUGGCCUGGCCAGAACAAGACUGAGCUUAGCAAAGAAGUGAUGAGCUGAAAUGUUUGCAGCUGAGAUAAUUCAGUUGUAAAGCAUGGAAGGAGAUAAGAGUGGGGCACAAAACCCUUCUACAGAACCAGGAAGGCAGAGUAGGGAAGUUCUCUAGAGACUGCACUGAGGCACGUUCACAGUACCAAGCCUCAGCCAGGGACCCCCAGCUGUGGGGAGCUCUGCACUGGGGUUCUCCAUAUCACCAUACAGGGAAACUGCUGUAGGAAACUGCCUCCUGCUGUGGGUCUGACAAGAACAGAGGAGGGGCUGGAGAAGAGUACUGAGAAGGUUGUAUGGGUU